Molecule: ribosomal RNA, 482 nt
Filed under: uncultured bacterium
Lineage: Bacteria
Description: partial 16S ribosomal RNA
Rfam family: Bacterial small subunit ribosomal RNA
Source: RNAcentral
AUUGAACGCUGGCGGCAUGCCUUACACAUGCAAGUCGAACGGUAACGGGCCUUCGGGUGCCGACGAGUGGCGCACGGGUGAGUAAUACAUCGGAACGUGCCCGAUCGUGGGGGAUAACGAGGCGAAAGCUUUGCUAAUACCGCAUACGAUCUACGGAUGAAAGCAGGGGACCGCAAGGCCUUGCGCGGACGGAGCGGCCGCUGGCAGAUUAGGUAGUUGGUGGGAUAAAAGCUUACCAAGCCGACGAUCUGUAGCUGGUCUGAGAGGAUGAUCAGCCACACUGGGACUGAGACACGGCCCAGACUCCUACGGGAGGCAGCAGUGGGGAAUUUUGGACAAUGGGCGCAAGCCUGAUCCAGCCAUGCCGCGUGCAGGAUGAAGGCCUUCGGGUUGUAAACUGCUUUUGUACGGAACGAAAAGCCUUCUUUUAAUACAGGAGGGUCAUGACGGUACCGUAAGAAUAAGCACCGGCUAACUACGUG